UACGGAGGGGGCGAGCGUUAUUCGGAAUUAUUGGGCGUAAAGGGCGCGUAGGCGGCUUGACAAGUCAAAGGUGAAAUCCCUCGGCUCAACUGAGGAACUGCCUUUGAAACUGUCUGGCUUGAGGCCGGGAGAGGGUAGCGGAAUUCCCAGUGUAGCGGUGAAAUUCGUAGAUAUUGGGAAGAACACCGGUGGCGAAGGCGGCGACCUGGUCCGAAACUGACGCUGAGGCGCGAAAGCGUGGGGAGCAAACAGG
Molecule: ribosomal RNA, 253 nt
Filed under: uncultured bacterium
Lineage: Bacteria
Description: partial 16S ribosomal RNA
Rfam family: Bacterial small subunit ribosomal RNA
Source: RNAcentral